This 245-nucleotide unclassified non-coding RNA is filed under the name plant metagenome. Its description in RNAcentral is "partial contains small subunit ribosomal RNA, internal transcribed spacer 1, and 5.8S ribosomal RNA". The stretch from base 197 to 245 matches the Rfam family "5.8S ribosomal RNA", at positions 1 to 49 of the family's 154-position model. The record is from RNAcentral.
UCUCCGUUGGUGAACCAGCGGAGGGAUCAUUACAGGACUCGCAAGACUCCUACAACCCUGUGAACUUAACUAUAAGCACGUUGCUUCGGCGGGUGUCUCGGAGGGGGUUCUCCCUCCCCGAGACGCUAAACCCGCCGGCAGCCUACUAUACUCUGUCUCUUUGCGUUGGCAUCUCGAGUACAAUCAAACAAGUUAAAACUUUCAACAACGGAUCUCUUGGUUCUGGCAUCGGUGAAGAACGCAGC